Molecule: ribosomal RNA, 253 nt
Filed under: uncultured bacterium
Lineage: Bacteria
Description: partial 16S ribosomal RNA
Rfam family: Bacterial small subunit ribosomal RNA
Source: RNAcentral
UACGUAGGGCGCAAGCGUUGUCCGGAAUUAUUGGGCGUAAAGAGCUCGUAGGCGGUUUGUCGCGUCUGCUGUGAAAACCUAAGGCUCAACCUUGGGCUUGCCGUGGGUACGGGCUGACUAGAGUGCGGUAGGGGUGACUGGAAUUCCUGGUGUAGCGGUGGAAUGCGCAGAUAUCAGGAGGAACACCGAUGGCGAAGGCGGGUCACUGGGCCGCAACUGACGCUGAGGAGCGAAAGCAUGGGGAGCGAACAGG